This 549-nucleotide long non-coding RNA is filed under the name Vigna radiata. RNAcentral's name for it is "long non-coding RNA (VRAD_LNC003016)". Lineage: Eukaryota; Viridiplantae; Streptophyta; Magnoliopsida; Fabales; Fabaceae. The record is from RNAcentral.
GACGAACAACCAAAGCCACACCGAAGAGGGCUCGAGACAGCAACACCACGAAGAGGACUCGACAGAGGGCUUUAAGAGAAACCGACAGGGAUCGACAAUGGGCUUUAAGAGAAAGCGCCUCGCCAGGGUUCAGGAGGGUUCGAGAGAGAGAACAAACGUCGAUGAUGGUUCAAGAAAGAGGGCAAAGCUCCAGCUUCAGAAAUGAGAGAGUGAAUACAGGUUCAGCUUCCACGUAAGCAGAAAUUCAUUUUUUAAAAAAAUAUAUUUACUUAAUCUGUAUAUAAAUUCCGCAGAUAACACCUGCUUCAAACUAUAUACGGAUAACUUAUGUUAUAUACGGAUCCUAUCCUUGGAUAACUUUCCCGCCACCCCGCGUCAACAUUAUAUACGGCAGUUAUAUACGGAUUAUCCGUAUAUAAAAAUCCGUAUAUAAUAUCCGUAUAUAAAUCCUUAUUUUAACAUCCGUAUAUAAUUUCCGUACAUAAUAGUUAAUUUAUAUACGGAUCCAAAUCCGUAUAUAAAAUUCCGUAGAUAAUGGCAUUAUUUCUU